Molecule: ribosomal RNA, 336 nt
Filed under: uncultured bacterium
Lineage: Bacteria
Description: bacterial SSU rRNA
Rfam family: Bacterial small subunit ribosomal RNA
Source: RNAcentral
GCCCUACGGGGAAAGGGGGGGAGUCGCAAGACCUCUCACUAUUAGAGCGGCCGAUAUCGGAUUAGCUAGUUGGUGAGGUAAAGGCUCACCAAGGCGACGAUCCGUAGCUGGUUUGAGAGGACGGACCAGCCACACUGGGACUGAGACACGGCCCAGACUCCUACGGGAGGCAGCAGUGGGGAAUUUUGGACAAUGGGGGAAGCCCUGAUCCAGCCAUUCCGCGUGUGCGAUGAAGGCCUUCGGGUUGUAAAGCACUUUUGGCAGGAAAGAAAUCGCAUCAAUUAAUACUUGGUGUGGAUGACGGUACCUGCAGAAUAAGCACCGGCUAACUACGUG